This 233-nucleotide long non-coding RNA is filed under the name Homo sapiens (human). Its description in RNAcentral is "LHRI_LNC1006.1". The record is from RNAcentral. Lineage: Eukaryota; Metazoa; Chordata; Mammalia; Primates; Hominidae.
UUUGCUUUUGCCCAUUUUGAAUCACAUGAAUUAUUACAGUGUUUAUCCUUUCAUAUAGUUAGCUAAUAAAAAGCUUUUGUCUACACACCCUGCAUAUCAUAUGGGGGUAAAGUUAAGUUGAGAUAGUUUUCAUCCAUAACUGAACAUCCAAAAUCUUGAUCAGUUAAGAAAUUUCACAUAGCCCACUUACAUUUACAAACUGAAGAGUAAUCAAUCUACUCAAAGCAUGGGAU